Molecule: RNA transcript, 5894 nt
Organism: Mesocricetus auratus (golden hamster)
Lineage: Eukaryota; Metazoa; Chordata; Mammalia; Rodentia; Cricetidae
Gene: Ccdc150
Gene name: coiled-coil domain containing 150
Exons: 30
Source: RefSeq, a predicted model, not a curated record
CGCGCUGAGGGAUUCCGGCUAGGGUCCCUCCCCAGGCGGAGGGCCCUGCUGGGCCGGGAAAACUACAAUUCCCGGCAUGCCUCACCUCGGGUGGGCCUACGUAUGGGAGCAACCCCGCUGGCGAGCGGGGUGGUUUAAAGCGCGGUUUUAGGCCCAUGGAACCAAACCUGCUGGCCGCCAGACGGAGCUACAGGCUGGUGGAUGGAUUAGGGAUGCAUAUGGAAACUACAGUGUGCAGACCAGUCCUGUCUCCAACCCAUAUCAACGCGACAGCUUCUGAGACAUUCACAAUACUUCAGCAGAAGAUGAGAAUUGUUGAGGAACAGACCAGUUCUCUGAGAGAUGACCUAAUAAUGCUGGGCUAUGGUGACAAACGAGGUCAAUUGGAAACUUCAAACUAUUUUGAAGACCCUGCCAGACAGAAAGUCAUUAGUCCUAUUUCAAGUGAAGUAAUUUGUCCAGAAAAAGCAGGUAUUUUAUGGAAGAACUGUGAGUUUCUGGUAAAUCGAAUGUGCCAUUUGGAAAACCUCAUCCAGUCCUUGAAGAUGAACAUCUGUCGUCUACAAACUGAACAGGAGUUGAAUCCACAGAAAACAGCUUUUCUGAAGGAUCAGCUGAAUACAAUACAGGAGGAACAUUCCACAGACCUGAAGCUGUUGCGCCUUGAAGUGAUGAACUUGCGCCAGCAACUGAAAGAUGUCAAGGAGGAGGAAGACAAGGCACAAGAUGAAGUGCAAAGACUGGCAGCCACUCUGGAAAUUGCCUCUGAGACAAAGAAGAAUGCAGCUGUUAUUGAGGAGGAGCUAAAGACCGCAAAGCGUAAAAUGAACCUUAAGAUUCAAGAGCUAAGGAGACAACUGGCUCAGGAGAAGCACUUCAGGGAAUCUCUUGAGAAAUCUGCAUCAUCCAUGCUACUCAAAAUACAAGAAAUGGGCUCAACAGUGGAGGCAGAACGGAAGCAGGUGCACACUUUGCAGCAGAACUGCAUUGCCCUACGCAGCUCUAUACAAACCACCCAAGAACUUUUGGCACAGGAGCAGCAAAAGAAUGGAGAGUUGGAGAUGACUGCCUCACAGCUCAAGUCUGAUCUAAUUUCCAGAGAUAACAUCAUCUGCAAGUUGGUUGAAGAGAAUAAGAGUACACAAAUAUCUUUCAACAAGGAACAUGAAGAAAAUAAAUAUUUGAAAUCUGAAAUAAUAUCCCUUCAAGACGCAUCGGAAAAAGCAAAGGUUCUGAAUGACCAGCUUUCCAGAAAGUGUUCAGAACUAACCAACAUGCUUCAAAUUGUUAAAAUGGAAAAUGCCAGGGUUAUUGCUGAACAUCAUGCUAUUCUGCAGGUGGAGCAGAAAAUGAUAACAGAGACAUUUCAAGAGCAGAAUUUACUGUUAGACGCAGCCCAUGCCAGCAUCACCGGUGAACUCCAAACUGUUCAGAAUGAUAGAGCCCAACUCCAGACACACCUAGACCAUUUAAUCCUUGAGCACAGUCAAUGUCUCCAGAAAGCGCAGGAUGCUGAAAAGAGGACAACAGUGCAAAAAGAACUUCUGGAGUCAACUAUUGCACGCCUCCGAGGUGAACUGGAAGCAUCGGUGCAGGAGAAGAAGUCGCUGCUAAAGGAGAAGGAGAGGUUUCAGCAGGAGGUUAGCAAAACAGAAAAAGAAGUAGCCAAAGAAAAAUGCAAUUUGGAAAAGGAAUUAGCUAAAAGCAAGGUAGACAUCAAUGUGUUGAACCAAAACCUGCAGAGUCUCGUGGAAGAAAAUAAGCACCUGACAGAAAAAAUGGCUUCUCUUGAACAUCACAGAGCCACUUCUGACUACCAUGGGUUUGCUCAGCAGAAAGUGGAGAAAGCCUUGGAAAAAAUUACUGAGAGUAAAAAUAAACUAGCCUAUGAAAAGGGGAAACUUCAGAUAAAAGUUAAACAGCUAGAAGAACAGCUCCAUUCGUUUACUGAAACCAGGUUGCAGAACGACCAUCUGCAGAAACUCAACAAGGCUUUAGAGGUCAAACAUGCUCAGGCAAACUCAGAACUGAAUGUCAGCAAGGCAUAUCUGCAACAGACAGAAGCUCACCUGAAAGAGAUGAAAUCCAUUCUUGGGAAAAAUGAGGAAGAGCUGGCCCAAGCUGUGAAGUGUCGAGAUGCUGCCCUGAAAGAGAGCCAGAAGUUGAGAGGGGACCUGGAAGCUUUGGAGGACAGGGAGAGCAAGAAGGUGGGAAACUUUCAGCGGCAGUUAGCAGAGGCUAAAGAAGACAACUGCAAAGUCACAAUCAUGCUGGAAAAUGUGUUGGCAUCUCACAGUAAGAUGCAGGGAGCUCUGGAGAAAGUCCAGAUGGAGCUCGGGCGGAGGGAUUCAGAGAUCGCAGGCCUCAAAAAGGAAAGGUCUCUAAAUCAACAAAGAGUCCAGAAGCUGGAAGCAGAAGUGGACCAGUGGCAGGCCAGGAUGCUGAUUGUGGAGGCUCAGCACAGCAGUGAGAUGGAGCCACUCCAGAAGUCUCUAGAUAUAACUAGAGAGGACAACAGGAAACUGGCCUUGAGCCUAGAGCAGGCUCUCCAGACAAAUGGCCAUCUGCAGUCUAAGCUAGAUCACAUCCAAGACAAACUGGAAAGCAAAGAACUUGAGCGGAAGAAUUUAGAAGCAUUCAAAGAGCGGAUGGCUGAGGAGUCCAAAGUAGAAGCAGAAUUGCAUGCAGAGCGCAUUGAAGCUCUGAGAAAGCAGUUUCAGACGGAGAGAGAGACUGCGAAGAAAGCCACACAGAGGGAAGUUUCUGAGCUGAAGAAAGCUCUUGACGAAGCCAACUUCAGAUCAGUGGAAGUGUCCCGGACAAACCGAGAACUACGACAGAAACUUACGGAGCUGGAAAAAGUAGUGAACAGUAACAAGGAGAAACUAAAGAAUCAAAAGGCUCAAAUAAAGCUGCACUUGUCGACCAAGGCAAAUAAUGUGCAGAAUUUGGAGAGGAUGAAGCAAAUAGAAACAGAAUUGAGGCAAAUGGAGAUAAUUAAGGAUCAAUAUCAGAAAAAGAACUAUGAACAGUCACUGAGUAUCCAGAGAUUUGUAUCUGAAAUGAAUAACUUGCAGAAAGAGAUGGAGCUGUUAGCCAAGAGCCAGUAUGAGACCUCUGCACGGAAUAAACAGCAGGAGCUGAGACUAGCAACUGAGCGGAAACUAAGACAGGAACUGGAAAAUCGGUGUGAGGCAAUUACCAAGCAAGACCAGGACACAGACCUCACCAUGCCAGCCAUCUUUGGAUUCCUCCAGCAAGCUUCGCCAUGGAGCUGGAAUUGUUCUGUCCCAAGCUGUCGCCUCUUUUCACCAGUGCUACUCACCUGUUGUACUUCUGUGGAACACAGAGACUCAGCAGCUGUGGACACCAAACACUGAGUCUGCACAGAAUGGGCAAACACAGUUGGAGGAAGAACUCAAGAAGCCCUAUGCCUCACCCUGGAACUAUUUGCUAUUGGUAAGUUGGAGGUAAGGGGUUAUUGCCUUCAGUUAUUGGCAAUAAUGAGCUAUAAUCACAGUUGCAGUAUCUUAACCAAUUGGGUUAUCUGAGGCAUGAUUGUUGUCAACUAAAAACUUUCCUGUUAUGUAACCACUGGUACUGCACCAAGCUCCAAUGGAUAGUCCCGAGCCAAUGGUUGCACAAAUAUCUCUGGUUAAACUAAAUGGGUAACAAAAUAAGACCAAACUACUAGGAAAGGAACUGGUAGGACGGGGCAGAGUUGCAAGGAAUGGGAGGAUGAAACAAAUAACUAAUUUCAUUUUUAAAAGUGGAAAGCAAUAGAGAAAGACAUCAAAUUCUGGCCUCCAUAUGCAUCCAGGUGUAUACACACACAUCACACACACACACACACACACACACACAGACACACCACACCAUUUAUUCUGGGUAAUACCAUUUAUUCUGACCACUCAACCAGAAGAGUGUCCGCUCUCCCACACACUUUCCCUUGGCUGUUUGAGAACUAACAUUCUUCCUUAAGGCGUCUAUUUUCUAGACUGAGCAUCUUGAUUUCCUUCUAGAAUGCUCUGUUAUUUUAAGAACUCUUCUCCCUAACUGGUAGCUUUUCUCUAGAGUUACCAUCAAGGACCAGGUUAAAAUGAAGAGACUUAUUUUCCUGUCUUCGUAAAAGCUGCCUAAUAUUAGAUUUGAUUUAAAGAAAAAUCAAGAUAUAUUGAAAUGGCUGACAUAAAAACUCCCAAAGCUGCAAUUUCCAAUAAAUGACUGAUAUGCUAGCUAUAAUUUAUGUUUUUACAGUUGAUUUUUAGGCCCAAGUGCAAAUUUCUAAGUCAUGUUUUUAGUUUACUUUCAAACCUGCUCACUCUUGACUCAUUAGUAUUGUUAACUAUUGUGUAUAGUUCUAGUACUUGAACGUAGGGCCUCACACAGUGUAGGCAAGUGCUCUAGCUCAGCUGUUCCUAGUCUAUGAGUUUUCCUGUGUGCAGAUCUGACAUCUCUAAAUGUGGAUGUUAAUGAAAGUGGUGGCCUCAUCAUCUCAAGUUUCUUUGCAGCAGAGCUGAAUAAGCCACACUGCUAACAUCAUCAAGUGGUACGUUCUCACGACUCUGGCUGCUAUACACUUCUCUUGUGAAAAUAAAACAACAGUGUUAAAUGAAAAAGUGGAAUUCAGUUAGAUUUUUGGUACAAUUUACAGAAAAAUUCAAGCUUACUGUGGAAGUCACUGUGGUGGUUUGAAUGUAAUUGGCCUCCAUAGUUUUAUAGGUAGUAGCACUACCUAUAUGGUAAGUGUAGCUUUGUUGGACUGGGUAUGAUCUUGGAGGAAGUGUUGUCACUGUGGGGUUGGGUUUUGAGGUUUUCUGUGCUCUGGAUACCAAUGUCUCAGUUGACUUCCUGUGCCUGCGUAUCAAGAUGUAGCCAGCACCACAUCUGCCUACAUGACAUCAUCAUACUCCCACCACGAUGGUAACGGACUGAACCUCUGAAACUGUAAGUGAGCCACCCCAAUUAAAAGUUUUCCUUAUAAGAGUUGCCGUGAUCAUGGUGUCUCUUCACAGCAAUAAAAACCCUAACUAAGACAGCCAUAGAACUAACAUCAUCAGAAUGAAUUCAGGCAAACUAUGGCUAACAUAAGAAAGAACCAAAAAAACAAACAAACAAACAAACAAAAACAAAAAACUACCAUCUACAGUAACUCAGGGUUAUUUCUUACCGUCUCUUGAUUUGUAAGCCUCUCUCUCAUUUCUCAACAGGAUGGGUUAACUCCUGCCUGGUCACAUGGCACUGCAGUUUCAGCUUAUAGGAGACUAGAGUUCAACUCCCACAUUCCCCAGGAAGAAGUAAAAAGGAAAUUCUUGUUUGGCCCAGAUGACUCUGAAGUUUUAAUUUAUACUACAAUUCACUUAUUUCAAAAUGGAAACAGCAAUGAUCCAAAUGUGCAUCAUAAUGAAAAAGGAUUCGCAAGUGUCUACUAAUCACAGAGCAAUUCCAGUUUCAUGGCCUUUGAAGGCCAACACACACCUAUACUCUGCUCACCCUGGGCUCCUCUCUUCACAAAUCCCACAAAGGGUCUCCUGGCUGACCUAGAGCUUACUAACAUGCAGACCAGGCUGGCCUCACACUCACAGAAAUCCGUCUACCUUUGUUUCCCAGAGCAAACCAGCGCGCUGAGCAGGGGAAGUGCAGAAUUAUAUUCACCAACAUCCAGAAAAGCUUCAGCAACAUCAAGAUAGAGGUCGCCCAUAUCUUCAGGAUUCUGUUCCACCAGUGUUGUCAACAGAGGCUAAACCCCAAAUAAAAGCCAGAGGUCAAACAUUCAUUACAAAUAACCACCUCUCUUUGUCAGCUGCAUGACACAAGCCAAAAGCAGCAAGGACUAACAAAAACAACUUGAUGGUCACUUUUCUGUAUUUCUAUUAAAAAGAUUAAGACUUCCA